GACGAACGCUGGCGGCGUGCCUAACACAUGCAAGUCGAACGGUGAAGCGCCUUCCUUUUUGGUGGGUGUGGAUGAGUGGCGAACGGGUGAGUAACACGUGAGUAACCUGCCCCCUUCUUCUGGAUAACCGCAUGAAAGUGUGGCUAAUACGGGAUAUUCUGUGUCUGUCGCAUGAUGGGUCUGUGAAAGAUAGUGUGUCGGUGGGGGAUGGGCUCGCGGCCUAUCAGCUUGUUGGUGGGGUGAUGGCCUACCAAGGCGGUGACGGGUAGCCGGCCUGAGAGGGUGAACGGUCACACUGGGACUGAGACACGGCCCAGACUCCUACGGGAGGCAGCAGUGGGGAAUAUUGCACAAUGGGAGCAAGCCUGAUGCAGCGACGCCGCGUGAGGGAUGGACGCCUUCGGGUUGUGAACCUCUUUCGCCAGUGAAGCAGGCCUGCCUCGUUUGUGGGUGGGUUGACGGUAGCUGGAUAAGAAGCGCCGGCUAACUACGUG
Molecule: ribosomal RNA, 494 nt
Filed under: uncultured bacterium
Lineage: Bacteria
Description: partial 16S ribosomal RNA
Rfam family: Bacterial small subunit ribosomal RNA
Source: RNAcentral